AGUGAGCUUGUGCUCUCGGUGCGGGGGGGUCACCCCCAUAGAGUUUUCGGCGGCGGGUGAGUAACACGUGGGUAACCUGCCUGUAAGACUGGGAUAACUCCGGGAAACCGGAGCUAAUACCGGAUAGUUCCUUGAACCGCAUGGUUCAAGGAUGAAAGACGGUUUCGGCUGUCACUUACAGAUGGACCCGCGGCGCAUUAGCUAGUUGGUGAGGUAACGGCUCACCAAGGCGACGAUGCGUAGCCGACCUGAGAGGGUGAUCGGCCACACUGGGACUGAGACACGGCCCAGACUCCUACGGGAGGCAGCAGUAGGGAAUCUUCCGCAAUGGACGAAAGUCUGACGGAGCAACGCCGCGUGAGUGAUGAAGGUUUUCGGAUCGUAAAGCUCUGUUGUUAGGGAAGAACAAGUGCAAGAGUAACUGCUUGCACCUUGACGGUACCUAACCAGAAAGCCACGGCUAACUACGUGCCAGCAGCCGCGGUAAUACGUAGGUGGCAAGCGUUGUCCGGAAUUAUUGGGCGUAAAGGGCUCGCAGGCGGUUUCUUAAGUCUGAUGUGAAAGCCCCCGGCUCAACCGGGGAGGGUCAUUGGAAACUGGGAAACUUGAGUGCAGAAGAGGAGAGUGGAAUUCCACGUGUAGCGGUGAAAUGCGUAGAGAUGUGGAGGAACACCAGUGGCGAAGGCGACUCUCUGGUCUGUAACUGACGCUGAGGAGCGAAAGCGUGGGGAGCGAACAGGAUUAGAUACCCUGGUAGUCCACGCCGUAAACGAUGAGUGCUAAGUGUUAGGGGGUUUCCGCCCCUUAGUGCUGCAGCUAACGCAUUAAGCACUCCGCCUGGGGAGUACGGUCGCAAGACUGAAACUCAAAGGAAUUGACGGGGGCCCGCACAAGCGGUGGAGCAUGUGGUUUAAUUCGAAGCAACGCGAAGAACCUUACCAGGUCUUGACAUCCUCUGACAACCCUAGAGAUAGGGCUUUCCCUUCGGGGACAGAGUGACAGGUGGUGCAUGGUUGUCGUCAGCUCGUGUCGUGAGAUGUUGGGUUAAGUCCCGCAACGAGCGCAACCCUUGAUCUUAGUUGCCAGCAUUCAGUUGGGCACUCUAAGGUGACUGCCGGUGACAAACCGGAGGAAGGUGGGGAUGACGUCAAAUCAUCAUGCCCCUUAUGACCUGGGCUACACACGUGCUA
RNAcentral lists this ribosomal RNA (1190 nucleotides) under Bacillus aerius. RNAcentral describes it as "bacterial SSU rRNA". It matches the Rfam family "Bacterial small subunit ribosomal RNA", at positions 72 to 1227 of the family's 1533-position model. Lineage: Bacteria; Bacillati; Bacillota; Bacilli; Caryophanales; Bacillaceae. The record is from RNAcentral.